AGAGUUUGAUCCUGGCUCAGAACGAACGCUGGCGGCGCGUCUUAAGCAUGCAAGUCGAGCGGUAGCAGGGUGCUUGCACCUUGUAUAGAGCGGCGGACUGGUGAGUAACGCGUGGGUGACCUACCUUUAGGAUGGGGAUAGCCUUUAGAAAUAAGGGGUAAUACCGAAUAUAAUUACGGUGCUAUGGCAAUGUAAUGAAAGGCGCUUCGGCGCCGCCUGAAGAUGGGCCCGCGUCCCAUUAGGUAGUUGGCGGGGUAAUGGCCCACCAAGCCAGUGAUGGGUAGCCGGCCUGAGAGGGUGAACGGCCACAUUGGGACUGAGAUACGGCCCAAACUCCUACGGGAGGCAGCAGCUAAGAAUAUUCCGCAAUGGACGAAAGUCUGACGGAGCGACGCCGCGUGGAUGAUGAAGGCCGAAAGGUUGUAAAAUCCUUUUGCUACUGAAGAAUAAGUGUGGUAGGUAAUGACCGCAUGAUGACGUUAGGUAGCGAAUAAGCCCCGGCUAAUUACGUGCCAGCAGCCGCGGUAACACGUAAGGGGCGAGCGUUGUUCGGAAUUAUUGGGCGUAAAGGGCGCGUAGGCGGUUAGGUAAGUCUGACGUGAAAUACCCGGG
Molecule: ribosomal RNA, 612 nt
Filed under: uncultured bacterium
Lineage: Bacteria
Description: bacterial SSU rRNA
Rfam family: Bacterial small subunit ribosomal RNA
Source: RNAcentral